RNAcentral lists this ribosomal RNA (741 nucleotides) under uncultured organism. Its description in RNAcentral is "SSU rRNA". It matches the Rfam family "Bacterial small subunit ribosomal RNA", at positions 720 to 1472 of the family's 1533-position model. The record is from RNAcentral.
GGCAGCUUCACUGGACUGCAACUGACACUGAUGCUCGAAAGUGUGGGUAUCAAACAGGAUUAGAUACCCUGGUAGUCCACACAGUAAACGAUGAAUACUCGCUGUUUGCGAUAUACAGUAAGCGGCCAAGCGAAAGCAUUAAGUAUUCCACCUGGGGAGUACGCCGGCAACGGUGAAACUCAAAGGAAUUGACGGGGGCCCGCACAAGCGGAGGAACAUGUGGUUUAAUUCGAUGAUACGCGAGGAACCUUACCCGGGCUUAAAUUGCAGUGGAAUGAUGUGGAAACAUGUCAGUGAGCAAUCACCGCUGUGAAGGUGCUGCAUGGUUGUCGUCAGCUCGUGCCGUGAGGUGUCGGCUUAAGUGCCAUAACGAGCGCAACCCUUAUCUUUAGUUACUAACAGGUUAUGCUGAGGACUCUAGAGAGACUGCCGUCGUAAGAUGUGAGGAAGGUGGGGAUGACGUCAAAUCAGCACGGCCCUUACGUCCGGGGCUACACACGUGUUACAAUGGGGGGUACAGAAGGCAGCUAGCGGGUGACCGUAUGCUAAUCCCAAAAUCCUCUCUCAGUUCGGAUCGAAGUCUGCAACCCGACUUCGUGAAGCCGGAUUCGCUAGUAAUCGCGCAUCAGCCACGGCGCGGUGAAUACGUUCCCGGGCCUUGUACACACCGCCCGUCAAGCCAUGGGAGCCGGGGGUACCUGAAGUACGUAACCGCAAGGAUCGUCCUAGGGUAAAACUGGU